Molecule: long non-coding RNA, 205 nt
Filed under: Elaeis guineensis (African oil palm)
Lineage: Eukaryota; Viridiplantae; Streptophyta; Magnoliopsida; Arecales; Arecaceae
Description: long non-coding RNA (EGUI_LNC065010)
Source: RNAcentral
GGUACAUCUUUUCUGUAUAGUUACCAGUCAAAUUAGUAGACAACAAAUUUAAUUUAAGAAUAAAUUAUUCAAUCAUUAAACUCUAAAAAAAGAAGAAGUUUGGAUAUGUAACCUGAUAUGUUGGAUCCUUAUAAUGCCGGCAUAUGACAUUCUAAUCAUCCAUAGUGAUGCUGUCAUAGGGCUGCUACUGUGCUGCCUCCUCCCC